UAAGUCUUCUCCAGGUGGAGGUGGUACUCUCUGUCUCUGACUGGUCUGUGAUACCAUGGAAACUCCUGGAGGAGGUGGAACACUGGUUGUCAAGGCUACAAGAGGAAAGGUUAAGAGGUCACUGCGCUGCCGAAUCACUGGAUUGGUCUUGAACUGAAUCACUCUGGGGCUUAAAUGAAUCAUCAGUGCAGUUAAAAGCUAUUAUAAAUCUGCUUUAAAUAUGGAGUGGAGGAACAGACGGUUACCUCUGAGUGGAGGAAUGGGUGGCAGCAGGUUGGGUGCAGCUCCUGGUUCCGGAGCCCGGGUGCCUGGGGG
Hemibagrus wyckioides is the source of this 315-nucleotide long non-coding RNA. RefSeq lists it as uncharacterized. The transcript is spliced from 3 exons. The record is from RefSeq and is a predicted model, not a curated record. NCBI's taxonomy places the organism in Eukaryota, Metazoa, Chordata, Actinopteri, Siluriformes, Bagridae.